Solanum pennellii is the source of this 908-nucleotide long non-coding RNA. RefSeq lists it as uncharacterized. The transcript is spliced from 3 exons. The record is from RefSeq and is a predicted model, not a curated record. NCBI's taxonomy places the organism in Eukaryota, Viridiplantae, Streptophyta, Magnoliopsida, Solanales, Solanaceae.
AUCCUCUCUCAACAGAACGCUCAACCCAGAAAUGCGCAUCAGACGCGAACCAAAAAAAAUGUGUGUGUUCGUCCCUCUCCCUCUCUCCAAAUGCGCAUCAUUUUCCUCUUCCCCCUUUUGUUCCGAUUCAUACAUCCUUCAGAAAUGUGGCCUAUACGCGAGCAGGCCAAAUGGAGAUAUCUCCGCGAUUUGUGCGUCCUUGGCUCAAGAUCGAAUGGCUUCCUUUCGAGUUUUGUUGAGGCCAGUACAGCUUGGUUCCAAUUCCAGUUACUCAUCCUUAUCGGGAAAGGAAUUCAAAUUUUGAUAAAGAAUGAAAUUUUCAGAAAGAGUAUUGAGAGGAUUUGCUGGGAAGGAAGGAACCAGUGGGUAAGAUCAUUGGCUUCUGCUGAAAGAAAUUUGGAGAGAAUAGUGAGUUAACAGUCAUCCAUGCAUAUUUAUAAAUAUUCGUGUUCGUUUAGAUCGAGUGUUCGCUUGAUUCUCGGCUCGCGCAAGCGCUUAUCUAGGCAUCUUUUUAUGAUGGGAAGCUCGUCGCCUUUGUUUGCUUGUUCCCGUCUCAGUACGCUGUAUCCAUAAGUCCUUACGGACUCCUUCUGUUUCUUGCACUUUGGAGAGAGAUCCAUAACGUCUCAAAAUUUGUCUUAAGCGAGUAAGGAAGUUGCAAGAGGAUCGAAGAAGAUCGGAGAGUUGAAGAAUUGGGGUCUUUAAGGCCCAAAAUUUUAUUUUUUAAAAAAAAAUUGUAUUUUGUUGUUGUUGGGCCUAACCCCUUAAUUAUUUUAUUUUUAUAUCCUUAAAGUUUAGGACAGGUACAGGUGAAGUGGGCCUAAAGCCCGCAAACAAAGGGUCCAAAUACCGGUUCAGGCGGACAGAUAACCCGGAUUUGGAACGAAAUAUCUCUCCUUGUCUCUCUC